UAUGUAGAUUAAAAAGGAAAAAUACCCAUCAUUAUUUGGUGCCGAAACCCGGGAUCUCUCAACCCCCUGCUGUCAGGCAGAGGAAGACGCGCUGAAUCCAUGCACGGCCAGAGUCAACUGGACCUGGAAAGAAAGACCCAGGAAGCAAAAUUCUUUGCUGGGCCAGCGACGUAGGUCCGACUUUGUCUGCCAACGGCGGAGUGACGAGAUCCGACUGGACAACCCGAAAACUACAGAAACGUAGGUGAAUUUUAAAAUGGCUAUUUUAGAGGUUUGAGUAUCCUUGUAUGAUGUCGCUCUGCUAAAACUCUGAGGUUUGAGUAUCCUUGUAUGAUGUCGCUCUGCUAAAACUCUGAGGUUUGAGUAUCCUUGUAUGAUGUCGCUCUGCUAAAA
This is a long non-coding RNA of Poecilia latipinna (sailfin molly), 393 nucleotides long. RefSeq lists it as uncharacterized. Lineage: Eukaryota; Metazoa; Chordata; Actinopteri; Cyprinodontiformes; Poeciliidae. The transcript has 2 exons. The record is from RefSeq and is a predicted model, not a curated record.